RNAcentral lists this unclassified non-coding RNA (434 nucleotides) under Hevea brasiliensis (rubber tree). The record is from RNAcentral. Lineage: Eukaryota; Viridiplantae; Streptophyta; Magnoliopsida; Malpighiales; Euphorbiaceae.
GGGGCUUCUCAUUUGACGCAACUACAGCUAAGUUACUGGUAAAGGAAAUAAGUGAGAAUACUUCCAUCCUUGAGAUGAUACCAAAGCUCCACACGGAAAAGAAGUAAAAAUUGCUAUCGCUCGGUUUUUUCGGCUAUGUUUUAAGCUUUGAUACAGUUUUGUUUAUCACCUCAAAUGAAAUUGAAUCCAAUGCAAUUGUGGAAGAUGAAAUAUGGCAAUGAAAAUGUUGCUUUGGCUUUCAGGCUGGCUUAUCGAGGAGGUUCAUCACGGUCACGCCAGAAGCUGAAGUUCUGAAAGCGAAGCAGCUGAUGAUAGAUUACAUUGAAGAUAGGGUCUUGCAUAAGGAACUUCAAGAGCUUUAGGGUGUUCCCUUCUGGUCCAUUUGCUCCAGGACUGAAUGUAUCCUUGAUGAAGCAAGACCUUGUAGCUGUUCU